AGACAAACCAGGAAGAGAGAGAAGGGGCUGGAAGGAUCUGCGAACCAUAGAGAAAGAGACAAUAUAUUUCGACUGGAUUUACCGUGUAUGAGCUGGACUGUUUGGACUUACCUGUUGGCGUUUGGACCUGGACCUACCGAGAACCCGAUUCGUGUACCGAACCUUGCUAUCCUUGACCUCGCCUGCGGCCUGCGUGGACCAGGACGGAGAAACAAACACGCAGCGGCCUGAAGUACGGCGUCAGGUGUUGCCAGCCAUAGCUUUUCACAAC
This 271-nucleotide long non-coding RNA is filed under the name Salmo salar (Atlantic salmon). Its description in RNAcentral is "lncRNA (ENSSSAG00000107052.1, ENSSSAG00020075170.1, ENSSSAG00075045210.1)". The record is from RNAcentral. Lineage: Eukaryota; Metazoa; Chordata; Actinopteri; Salmoniformes; Salmonidae.